GAUGAACGCUAGCGGGAGGCUUAACACAUGCAAGUCGAGGGGUAAAUGGUAGCAAUACUAUGAGACCGGCGGACGGGUGCGUAACGCGUAUGCAACAUACCUUGUGCAGGGGGAUAGCCCGUGGAAACGCGGAUUAAUAUUCCAUAGUCCAGCUAUAUCGCAUGGUAUAGUUGGUAAAGAUUUAUCGGCACAAGUUUGGCAUGCGUCUGAUUAGCUUGUUGGUAGGGUAACGGCCUACCAAGGCUACGAUCAGUAGGGGUUCUGAGAGGAUUAACCCCCACACUGGUACUGAGACACGGACCAGACUCCUACGGGAGGCAGCAGUGAGGAAUAUUGGUCAAUGGGCGGAAGCCUGAACCAGCCAUCCCGCGUGAAGGAAGACAGCCUUACGGGUUGUAAACUUCUUUUCUGUCAGAAGAAUAAGCUUGUCGAGACGAGUGAUGCCGGUAUGACAGGAAUAAGCAUCGGCUAACUCCGUGCCAGCAGCCGCGGUAAA
RNAcentral lists this ribosomal RNA (496 nucleotides) under uncultured bacterium. Its description in RNAcentral is "bacterial SSU rRNA". It matches the Rfam family "Bacterial small subunit ribosomal RNA", at positions 28 to 524 of the family's 1533-position model. The record is from RNAcentral.